This 1613-nucleotide unclassified non-coding RNA is filed under the name Hevea brasiliensis (rubber tree). The record is from RNAcentral. Lineage: Eukaryota; Viridiplantae; Streptophyta; Magnoliopsida; Malpighiales; Euphorbiaceae.
CAGCCUUCAUUGCACUAAUGAGUAAUGCGAUUCCACCACAGGCAGAUGGAGAGGACAUAGAAGUGCCAUUCAUCAGCAUGCGCUUUUGAAGAGUCCAUGUAGGAACAGGAGCAACAGCCCCGCCAGGAGCACUAACACAGACUCCAAGAUCUCCAUCUGCUGUUGGUCCUCGGCUGGACCAAGUGUAUUCAAGUCCUUCAGAAGGAGGUUGUACUACACAAUGAGCACCAGCAGCCAUUGCAGGAGAGACAUAUGCACCAAUUCCUAUAAUGCUGGAAGUUGUACCACCGGGUGCACCAACAGUGCUUAACGCUGGACCACUAUUACCAGCACUACUCACAAAUAUAAGACGGUGCUUAUUCACCACUUCAUUAACAAGGUCAACAAAGCGACCAUAAUCUGGCAGUAAUGUAGGUUCUCCAUAACUCAUAUUGAUCAGGUCACAUUUAUGCUCCACAGCAGCAAUCAGAGACCUUGUCAAGCCAGUGCCUGUCUCCAUUGAACCUAAACGUGAGUCUCCAAUUUUGCAUGAUAUUAACUGUGCUCCAGGUGCAACUCCAUUCAAUAAUGGCUCCUUUGGGUGGAAGGCAGUAGCAAUACCAGCAACGUGAGUUCCAUGAGGGGAGCUAUCUGUUACGAUACUUAAGAUAUUUCCCUCAUCAUAUAUAUUAAGGACAAAUGAGCAUGCAUCCAACUUGCUAAACACACCAAAUUUCCUUUCGGUCCUAUAAUUUGUAAGAGGUAUGAAAUCAGCAAGCCUUCCACAAUCCGGGUCAUCCUCAAGACUUUGUGUAUCAAGAGCAGCCCUCCACAAUGCUCCAUCAUGCCACACAACAGCAUCUAUGACAGGUCCCUUGUCAUCAUAAUUAUCAGCCUGCUUUCGUAGUAUAUCGAUUCUGUUUUGAAGGUCUUCUCGAACCUUCUUCAAAUUUGCAUCAUCUGGAUUGGAGUGUUUCUGAUUGAAUUCAUCAAGCUGCUUUACAGCCCUAGCAAUUUCUUCCUGGCUUUUCUCAUCCCAGUUCUUUUUUCUUUCUUUCUUCAAACGAGAAGUUAAUGAAUCGGUAAAUAGCUCAUACACCAACUUAUAACCGACAUGCCAUUCACCAGAAGGAUUUUUCCAUGAGGAAUUGACAACUAGAGGAGCUCCUGAAGCCCCUCGAAUACAACCAUCAGCAUUGGCCUUCAUAACCUUUGAGGUGUCAAUAUCUCCACUCCCAGUGCAAUCAAUAACAUCGAGGAUCUUCGGCUUCCCAUCCGUGGUCACGUGCAAUCCAGCAGCGGCCGGGUCAACUCCAGAAUCAAAGAUGGCGAUGACGACGCCACGGCCAUCAAACUCGGGGUGAGCGUCGAUGAAACGAUCGGCGCCAAUCUCCUUCUUCGGCAUGAGAGAGGCCAAGAAAGUGGAUUCGUUCAGCUUGAAGCUCCGGAGAGAACCAUUCUCAUCUCCACUUCCUCCGAGACCGCCACCAGAUACUGUGCUAAUAGAGGAACAAGGCAUGGCACUUUUAUAAUUACUCCCACUGCUACUCCAAUGCCUCUCCUUUAUCUCUCUUCUUCUUUUAUUAUUGGCGUUGACGAGCCUUUUGGGUCUGGUGAGUAAAGACGAAGGAGAG